AUUGAACGCUGGCGGCAGGCCUAACACAUGCAAGUCGAACGAGUGGCGGACGGGUGAGUAAUGUCUGGGAAACUGCCUGAUGGAGGGGGAUAACUACUGGAAACGGUAGCUAAUACCGCAUACCAUCGGAUGUGCCCAGAUGGGAUUGGCUAGUAGGUGGGGUAAAGGCUAACCUAGGCGACGAUCCCUAGCUGGUCUGAGAGGAUGACCAGCAACACUGGAACUAAGACAGGGGCCAGACUCCGAGGGGAGGCAGCAGUGGGGAAUAUUGCACAAUGGGCGCAAGCCUAAUGCAGACAUGCCGCGUGUAGGAAGAAGGCCUUCGGGUUGUAAAGUACUUUCAGCGGGGAGGCGUUAACCGAAGAAGAAGCACCGGCUAACUCCGUGCCAGCAGCCGCGGUAAUAC
Molecule: ribosomal RNA, 406 nt
Filed under: uncultured bacterium
Lineage: Bacteria
Description: partial 16S ribosomal RNA
Rfam family: Bacterial small subunit ribosomal RNA
Source: RNAcentral